This is a non-coding RNA of Pimephales promelas (fathead minnow), 198 nucleotides long. Lineage: Eukaryota; Metazoa; Chordata; Actinopteri; Cypriniformes; Leuciscidae. The record is from RefSeq and is a predicted model, not a curated record.
CAACUUUGCGUUACAAGUGGCACUGCACAGAAGACGGAGAAGAACAUUGGAGAUGCCGUUGCUGAAAUAUGCUGCCAACAAUGUUGCGAAGUGAGAAGUUUACUGCAUGCUUGGCUUUGGGCGUCUGCUCCAGGAGGGUCUUCAUGUCUAUCAGAGCGUCCUCAAGACCUUGGGCCAGAUGUGCUGCGUUAGUGUCCU